Molecule: transfer RNA, 72 nt
Filed under: Siphoviridae sp. ct6GI21
Lineage: Duplodnaviria; Heunggongvirae; Uroviricota; Caudoviricetes
Description: tRNA-Gln
Rfam family: tRNA
About the family: Transfer RNA (tRNA) molecules are approximately 80 nucleotides in length. Their secondary structure includes four short double-helical elements and three loops (D, anti-codon, and T loops).
Source: RNAcentral
AGCUCUAUCGCCAAAAGGUAAGGCACAGGACUUUGACUCCUGCAUUUGUUGGUUCGAUUCCAACUAGGGCUG